UGGCAACCCGCUCCGGUGUCCUUCCAUGCUGUGGAGGCUCUGUUGUUUCGCUCUUUCUACUGCUUACUCUUCGGGUCCACACUGCUUUUAUGAGCUGUAACACUCACCCUGAAGGUUUGCAACUUGACUCCUGAAGCCAGCAAGACCACGAGCCCCAGGGAGGAACGAACAACUCCAGACGCGCUGCCUUAAGAGCUGUAACACUCACCGAGAAGGUCUGCAGCUUCACUCCUGAGCCAGCGAGGCCACGAACCCACCAGAAGGAAGAAACUCUGAACACAUCCGAACAUCAGAAGGAACAAACUCCAGACGUGCCACCUUAAGAGCUGUUAACACUCACCGCGAGGGUCCGCGGCUUCAUUUUUGAAGUCAGUGAGACCAAGAACCAACCAAUUCGGGACACAAUACCAACUCUUUCAUGCCAGGAGAAGCCUCCUUAAAAAAUUUCGGUGAUUAACAGCAGCACAUGGGUCAAAAUCUCCUGAAAGUUGAGCAGGGGAGCUGUAGAAGAAUUCCUCCUUUUCUCGCAGAUGAAAUCUUAUGAUAUAGCAGGGGUUACCUGGCCAAGAAGGAACACAGAGGAGAACAAAGAAAAUUCAAGGAACUAAAUUCCUUCUCCACCUCAACCACCAGCAUUGAUACUCCAUCACUUAUGUACUGCAUCAAGCCGUCCUCAGAGGUGAGGAAGGUGCUGUCAAGACUAGAAGCAUGUGUCCCUCUCUCCAUUGCAAGAUGGGACAUAGAGAGGAGAAAAGUGGCAGACAGAAGGUUGGUAGAAAGCAGGUGUCACCAUACUGCUGUACACACAAACUGUUAGGCCUAGAUUUUGCUUUCUCCUUCUUGCUUUAAGCCUCUAUCUAGUUUCCCAAAUCCUGCUGCUUUUGCGUCAAUGGUAGGAAAAUAUUAGCCAUGAUAACCCUUCAAACACCCUUAUAAGGCUGUGAAUUGAAUGUACCAAGGGAGGUAACUUUAUUGGAGUUGUCUCUGAUAAGGGACAACUCCAAUAAAAUUAAGUAAAAAUAUUAAGAUUAUUGUUGAUCUUGAGCCAAGAAAAUGCAGGGGAAACAAUGGAAAAAUACCUUUAAAUAAUGAAAACAAAAAUAAAAUAAGAGCUGGUCUACUCACUACUUCAUCCCAUCUCGUCUGUAAAAUAAUACCAUCAGAAAAGUGUUCAAAAUUCUCUGUAGUCAAGGACUUCUCCUGCUGGUUAGAAUGCAAAAUAAUAUGAAAGACUUUUGAUCCUCUAGUAAUAUACAAGUGUAUAUAUAUUUUUUGAGACAGGGUCUUGCUUUGUUGUCUAAACUGGAAUGCAGUGGUAUGAUAUUGUCUCACUGCAGUCUCUGCCUCCUAGGCUCAAGCAAUCCUCCUGCCUCAGCCUCCCAAGUAGCUGGCACUAUAGGCAUAUGCCACCAUGCCUGGCUAAUUUUUUUAUUUUUUUGUAAAAACAGAGUUUUGCCAUGUUGCCCAGGCUGGUCUUGAGUUCCUGGGCUCAUGUGAUCCACCUGCCUUGGUCUCCCAAAGUGCUGGGAUUACAAGCAUGAGCCAGCACACUCAGCCUACAUUUUUCAAUAUGCAUGAAAUUAUAUGGUUUGGAUGUGCUCAUUUUACUAUAUUAAAGUAUAUUUCAAUAAAAAGCCAGUAGGCAUGAAAACAUAAUAUUCUUUCAUUUUUGUCUUCAUCUGAAGUUUCAAGUUAAAAAGCAGGUUAUUCAGUAAAAGAAAAUUGCAAUGUUCUUCUCCAGUGCCAAUUAACCAAUCUCCUCAGACAGAAAUAUCUUCAGAUGGUGCUAAUGCAAAUCUCAAUUUAAAAUCAUUUUAGAAGACUGAGACCAUGCCCACAAAUGCUUCAGAAUGGGAGGUGCCAAGACUUUCAAUCACACAAAACCCUGGCACUUACUUUGUUGUGUUAUAAUCCAGUCUUUCUGCACCUAAGCUUCCUUCAUAAAAGACAAUCCAGCAUCAUGGUUAAAACACAGACUUUCUACCACUACUACUUACAUUCUUGGUGACAGUGGGCAAUUUAGCAGACUUCUCUGUGUUUUAGUUUCCUCAACUUUAAAAUGGGCACUGUUAUAGGUAUAAUUGUGUCCUACAAAAAGAUGUUGAAGUCCUAACCUCCAAUACAUGUGAAUAUGACCUUAUUUAGAAAUAGAGUCUUUACAGAUGAUCAAUUUAAGAUGCGGUCAUUAGGGCAGGUCCUAAUCCAAUAUGACUAGUGUCCUUAUAAUAAGGGAAAUUUGGACUCCAGAGAUAGAUAUAUACCAAUGAGAGACAAUGUGACACAGGGACCACACCUACAAAUCAAGGAACAUCUGAGGCUACCAGAAGUUAGGAGAGAGGUCCAGAACAGUGCCACAUAGCCCUCAGAAGGAAUCAACUCUACCAGCACCUUGAUUUUGGGCUUUUAGCCUCCAGAACUGUGAGGCAAUAAAUUUCCGUUCUUUAAGCCACCCAGUUGUUGGUACUUUAUUAUGGCAGCCCUAGGAAAUUAACAUAGGGAAUGAUAUGGUUUGGCUGUGUCCCCACCCAAAUCUCAUCUUGAAUUAUAGCUCCCAUAAUUCCCACAUGUUGUGCGAGGGACCCAGUAGGAGAAAAUUGAAUCAUGGGGGCAGUUUCCCCCAUACUGUUCUCGUGGUAGUGAAUAAGUCUCACAAGGUCUGAUGGUUUUAUAAGGGGAAACACCUUUGGCUUAGCUCUCUGAUUCUCUCUUGCUGCCUCCAUGUAAGAAAUGUCUUUCACCUUCCACCAUGAUUGUAAGGUCUCCCCAGCCACCUGGAACUGAGUCCAUUAAACAUAUUUUUCUUCCCAGUCUUAGGUAUGUCUUUAUCAGCAGCAUGAAAAUGGACUAAUACAGGGACCAAUGAUUGCAUCUACCUCAUGGACUUUUUAUGAGAAUUGACUGAUUUAAUAAAUGUAAAAGACUUAGAACACUGCCUCAUCUAUUGUAAACAGUCAAUAAAUAUUAGUAUCAAUUUUCAUUGAAUCCUAAUCAGUAUAACUAUAAUGUUACAUUCAUGAAUAAGACAAAGGCUGGGACAAAAUAAAUGAGACACUUCACUCAGACCUCUUCAUUGUUUUCCCAGUUGUCAUCCUUUGCACCUAGUUCUGUAAUUAAGAGAGUCUUCUCAGCUUUUUCUUAAAUCAUGUAUUUUCCUCUAGUAUGGCAACUUUAUAAUAUGUUUCCCCCACUUGAAAAUGUUUCCUCCUUUUUCCCACAGUCCAAUCCCCCCAUUAACCCAACCAUCUCUCACAUACAUACCAAUUUUAGGUCCCAAAUCUCUCAGAUCUCACCCUAUUCACAAACCAAAACUUUAUCAGAAAGAUCUAAAACACUUCCCCCAAAGGCAUUUUUAAUCACCAAUAAGGUGUUCUCACUUUCAAGGAUAGUAUAAUGUGAAUGGACAUCAAAGUCUUAAGAUCAAGAAUAUACUCUACUAUUAAAGAGUUCUAACCAUAAGCUAGUGGUUAAUACAGUUUUAGAGGGAAGAGGAUAAGGAAAGCAGACAUUGUCUUUCCUCUUUCCUAAACUUUUCCCAGGUCUAGAUCUACCUCCUAUCAAUUUUGCUACUUUGGUAAACAAACUCUUGGCAUAAAUUCUACCAAAGCACACUUUGGUCUUUAACUUUCAUAGUAGAAGGGAUAGAACAAGUAUCUCUCACCUAACAGAAAUCCACUUAAUGGAAUUUAAAAUCAAAGAAUGUGAUUGAUCCACCAAUUAUUUAAAUACCAACUUGAGUAUACUGAAUGUAAACUUCCAGUGCUGCCAUGUGGACUCUGCCAUCUUGUCCCUACUGCAUGCAGGUCCCUUAUCUAUCAAUGGCUUAGAAAUGACCAAACUCUUAACAAUCAGAACUUUGCAAAUCUUAAAUAAAAACUGUUUUACAAACACCCCAAGACACAUUACAAAUCAAGAAAACUGAAAAUCAUUUUAUAGAAUGCAUAACCCUCAUGGUCCCAGCAGAAAACAGGUGGCAUGCUAAAAUUGGGCAAUUUAAGGAGGAUUUAAUUAAAGAACUAUUUGUAAAGAUGUGGGCAAGAUAUAUGGGAAACAUGAAGGAUG
Molecule: long non-coding RNA, 4059 nt
Filed under: Homo sapiens (human)
Lineage: Eukaryota; Metazoa; Chordata; Mammalia; Primates; Hominidae
Description: PREDICTED lncRNA (TCONS_00208542)
Source: RNAcentral